AGAACGAACGCUGGCGGCAGGCUUAACACAUGCAAGUCGAGCGCCCCCGCAAGGGGAGCGGCAGACGGGUGAGUAACGCGUGGGAAUCUACCUAGCUCUACGGAACAACUCUGGGAAACUGGAGCUAAUACCGUAUACGUCCUUCGGAGAAGAUUAUCGGAGUUAGAUGAGCCCGCGUUGGAUUAGCUAGUUGGUGGGGUAAGUGGCCUACCAAGGCGACGAUCCAUAGCUGGUCUGAGAGGAUGAUCAGCCACACUGGGACUGAGACACGGCCCAGACUCCUACGGGAGGCAGCAGUGGGGAAUAUUGGACAAUGGGCGAAAGCCUGAUCCAGCCAUGCCGCGUGAGUGAUGAAGGCCCUAGGGUUGUAAAGCUCUUUCACCGGUGAAGAUAAUGACGGUAACCGGAGAAGAAGCCCCGGCUAACUUCGUGCCAGCAGCCGC
RNAcentral lists this ribosomal RNA (443 nucleotides) under uncultured bacterium. RNAcentral's name for it is "SSU rRNA". It matches the Rfam family "Bacterial small subunit ribosomal RNA", at positions 26 to 518 of the family's 1533-position model. The record is from RNAcentral.